UACAGAGGGUGCGACCGUUGCUCGGAAUUACUGGGCGUAAAGCGCGUGUAGGCGGGUCGGCAAGUCAGGCGUGAAAUCCCCAGGCUCAACCUGGGAACUGCGCUUGAAACUGCCGGUCUUGAGUAUCGGAGAGGGUGGCGGAAUUCCUGGUGUAGAGGUGAAAUUCGUAGAUAUCAGGAGGAACACCGGUGGCGAAGGCGGCCACCUGGACGAUUACUGACGCUGAGACGCGAAAGCGUGGGGAGCAAACAGG
RNAcentral lists this ribosomal RNA (253 nucleotides) under uncultured bacterium. RNAcentral's name for it is "partial 16S ribosomal RNA". It matches the Rfam family "Bacterial small subunit ribosomal RNA", at positions 524 to 776 of the family's 1533-position model. The record is from RNAcentral.